This 261-nucleotide ribosomal RNA is filed under the name uncultured bacterium. RNAcentral describes it as "partial 16S ribosomal RNA". It matches the Rfam family "Bacterial small subunit ribosomal RNA", at positions 337 to 615 of the family's 1533-position model. The record is from RNAcentral.
UCUUACGGGGGGCAGCAGUGGGGAAUAUUGCACAAUGGGGGAAACCCUGAUGCAGCGACGCCGCGUGAGUGAAGAAGUAUUUCGGUAUGUAAAGCUCUAUCAGCAGGGAAGAUAAUGACGGUACCUGACUAAGAAGCCCCGGCUAACUACGUGCCAGCAGCCGCGGUAAUACGUAGGGGGCAAGCGUUAUCCGGAUUUACUGGGUGUAAAGGGAGCGUAGACGGUUACGCAAGUCUGGAGUGAAAGGCGGGGGCCCAACCC